GUGCUCGCUUUGGCAGCACAUAUCCUAAAAUUGGAACGAUACAGAGAAGAUUAGCAUGGCCCCUACAUAAGGAUGACAUACAAUUCAUGAAGCGUUCCAUAUUUAA
Molecule: small nuclear RNA, 106 nt
Organism: Balaenoptera musculus (blue whale)
Lineage: Eukaryota; Metazoa; Chordata; Mammalia; Artiodactyla; Balaenopteridae
Source: Ensembl